RNAcentral lists this ribosomal RNA (435 nucleotides) under uncultured bacterium. Its description in RNAcentral is "partial 16S ribosomal RNA". It matches the Rfam family "Bacterial small subunit ribosomal RNA", at positions 28 to 507 of the family's 1533-position model. The record is from RNAcentral.
GAUGAACGCUGGCGGUAUGCUUAACACAUGCAAGUCGAACGGACUCUCCGGAGUUAGUGGCGGACGGGUGAGUAACGCGUGAGAAUCUGGCUUUGGGUUCGGGACAACCACUGGAAACGGUGGCUAAUACCGGAUGUGCCGAGAGGUAAAAGAGAAAUUGCCUGAAGAUGAGCUCGCGUCUGAUUAGCUAGUUGGUGAGGUAAAGGCUCACCAAGGCAGCGAUCAGUAGCUGGUCUGAGAGGAUGACCAGCCACACUGGGACUGAGACACGGCCCAGACUCCUACGGGAGGCAGCAGUGGGGAAUUUUCCGCAAUGGGCGAAAGCCUGACGGAGCAAUACCGCGUGAGGGAAGAAGGCUCUUGGGUUGUAAACCUCUUUUCUUAGGGAAGAACAAAAUGACGGUACCUAAGGAAUCAGCAUCGGCUAACUCCGUG